GCGCGGUUAGCUCAGUUGGUAGAGCACUCCCUUGACGUGGGAGGGGCCGGGGGUUCGAGUCCCUCACCGCGCA
RNAcentral lists this transfer RNA (73 nucleotides) under Candidatus Parcubacteria bacterium. RNAcentral describes it as "tRNA-Val". It matches the Rfam family "tRNA". From Rfam's summary of the family: Transfer RNA (tRNA) molecules are approximately 80 nucleotides in length. Their secondary structure includes four short double-helical elements and three loops (D, anti-codon, and T loops). Further hydrogen bonds mediate the characteristic L-shaped molecular structure. tRNAs have two regions of fundamental functional importance: the anti-codon, which is responsible for specific mRNA codon recognition, and the 3' end, to which the tRNAs corresponding amino acid is attached (by aminoacyl-tRNA synthetases). tRNAs cope with the degeneracy of the genetic code in two manners: having more than one tRNA (with a specific anti-codon) for a particular amino acid; and 'wobble' base-pairing, i.e. permitting non-standard base-pairing at the 3rd anti-codon position. The record is from RNAcentral. Lineage: Bacteria; Candidatus Parcubacteria.